Molecule: ribosomal RNA, 374 nt
Filed under: uncultured eukaryote
Lineage: Eukaryota
Description: partial 18S ribosomal RNA
Rfam family: Eukaryotic small subunit ribosomal RNA
Source: RNAcentral
UAAUAGUGUAUAUUAAAGUUGUUGCAGUUAAAAAGCUCGUAGUUGAAUGUUGGUGUCGAACGAGCGGUCAGCUUCGGCUGUACUGCUCUCUCGACUCCUUCCUUCUGUGGACUACGUCGCACUUUACUGUGUGGCGCUAGGACGCAGAUCGUUUACUGUGAAAAAAUUAGAGUGUUCAAAGCAGGCCGUACGCUUGAAUACAUUAGCAUGGAAUAAUGGAAUAGGACGUCGGGCCUAUUUUGUUGGUUCUAGGACCGUCGUGAUGAUUAAUAGGGACAGUUGGGGCCGUUUAUAUUCCGUAGUCAGAGGUGAAAUUCUUGGAUUUACGGAAGAUAAACUACUGCGAAAGCAUUCGGCAAGGAUGUUUUCGUUAA